AUGGCUGCCCUUCAGACUAAAUACGUUAUCAAGACGAUGCAAUGAUCACAAGAUCAAGAGGUAAAAUGUAGUUCAAGAUUUGGGGCUCAUUCACUGUAAGCUUAUGUUUCAUUCCCAUGUGUGUUAAGCACUAUGAUUUUUUAUAUUAAUUGAGUGGGAGUACAUUGCGUCUUACGUCAUUCUGUUUUUUCAGAUUAGAGAUUAAUCGAGUAAAAGACAAACAACGUAUAAAUAUUGGCUAGGAUGAUUCGUGGCGCUACACUGGCAAAUUUGGUGGAGUCAGAUAAACAUUAUAAAGGAUUCAACUAAAGGAAGAUUCGAUAUAUCUGCAGGAGAAAAGGUAAUGUUUUGUUAAGGAUGUUUUUAUGGGAAUUGCCGUAACAAAGCAUUGAUGUGUUUCUUGAUGUAUCGUUCCCUGCAGGAUGUGGAACCGUCACAUGGGUUCACUUGGGUCCAUGACUCCACGAGCACCAGACGUGGAUGGAUGGAUCGACGAGCGAUGAUCAAAGUUGGUUUGAGGUUGUACGGCUUGCCCGCCUUUGAGGUAUCUUGAUUUCAUAUGAAAACUAAUUUAGCAAGUUGAACAUUUAUAGCUGGAACUUAUUUAAUAUCAUAUUUGUAAUACAUGCAAUGACAUUUUCUAUUUUUCAUAUUAUUUUUGGCUAAAAACCGGUUCUAAUCCUUCUUAAAAAAAAACCGAACCAGUUAAAGAAAAAAAUGUCAACU
This 726-nucleotide long non-coding RNA is filed under the name Helianthus annuus (common sunflower). Lineage: Eukaryota; Viridiplantae; Streptophyta; Magnoliopsida; Asterales; Asteraceae. The record is from RNAcentral.